This 253-nucleotide ribosomal RNA is filed under the name uncultured bacterium. Its description in RNAcentral is "partial 16S ribosomal RNA". It matches the Rfam family "Bacterial small subunit ribosomal RNA", at positions 524 to 776 of the family's 1533-position model. The record is from RNAcentral.
UACGUAGGGUGCGAGCGUUGUCCGGAAUUAUUGGGCGUAAAGCGCGCGUAGGCGGUUACUUAAGUCGGAUGUGAAAGCCCUCGGCUUAACUGAGGAAGUGCACCCGAAACUGAGUAGCUAGAGUACGAAAGAGGGUCGCGGAAUUCCCGGUGUAGAGGUGAAAUUCGUAGAUAUCGGGAGGAAUACCGGUGGCGAAGGCGGCAUCCUGGACCGACAUUGACGCUGAACGGCGAAAGCUAGGGGAGCAAACGGG